This 459-nucleotide ribosomal RNA is filed under the name uncultured bacterium. Its description in RNAcentral is "partial 16S ribosomal RNA". It matches the Rfam family "Bacterial small subunit ribosomal RNA", at positions 338 to 795 of the family's 1533-position model. The record is from RNAcentral.
CCUACGGGCGGCAGCAGUGAGGAAUAUUGGUCAAUGGUCGGGAGACUGAACCAGCCAAGCCGCGUGAGGGAUGAAGGUACAGAGUAUCGUAAACCUCUUUUGUCAGGGCACAACGGCGGGGACGUGUCCCCGGAUGAGUGUACCUGAAGCAAAAGCAUCGGCUGACUCCGUGCCAGCAGCCGCGGUAAUACGGAGGAUGCGAGCGUUAUCCGGAUUUAUUGGGUUUAAGGGGUGCGCAGGCGGUCUGUUAAGUCAGCGGUAAAAGCCCGGGGCGCAACCCGGGCCCGCCGUUGAAACUGGCAGUCUUGAGUUGGAGAGAAGUAUGCGGAAUGCGCGGUGUAGCGGUGAAAUGCAUAGAUAUCGCGCAGAACUCCGAUUGCGAAGGCAGCAUGCCGGCUCCACACUGACGCUGAGGCACGAAAGCGUGGGUAUCGAACAGGAUUAGAGACCCCAGUAGUC